This 482-nucleotide ribosomal RNA is filed under the name uncultured bacterium. RNAcentral describes it as "partial 16S ribosomal RNA". It matches the Rfam family "Bacterial small subunit ribosomal RNA", at positions 30 to 507 of the family's 1533-position model. The record is from RNAcentral.
AUUGAACGCUGGCGGCAUGCUUUACACAUGCAAGUCGAACGGUAACAGGCCGCAAGGUGCUGACGAGUGGCGGACGGGUGAGUAAUGCAUCGGAACGUGCCCAGUCGUGGGGGAUAACUACUCGAAAGAGUAGCUAAUACCUCAUACGAUCUAUGGAUUAAAUCGGGGGACCGUAAGGCCUCGCGCCAUUUGAGCGGCCGAUGUCAGAUUAGGUAGUUGGUGGGGUAAAGGCUCACCAAGCCAACGAUCUGUAGCUGUUCUGAGAGGACGACCAGCCACACUGGGACUGAGACACGGCCCAGACUCCUACGGGAGGCAGCAGUGGGGAAUUUUGGACAAUGGGCGCAAGCCUGAUCCAGCAAUGCCGCGUGCAGGAAGAAGGCCUUCGGGUUGUAAACUGCUUUUGUACGGAACGAAACGGCUCUGGUUAAUACCCGGAGCUAAUGACGGUACCGUAAGAAUAAGCACCGGCUAACUACGUG